ACCCUACAUUUGAAAAUGAUAUGCAUGCAGCAUGAGCGCAUGUGUUUAUUAUUGUUUAUCGUAUGUUGUUAAGUAAAUAUAAAAAGGGUUCUUGAUGUCCCUGAAACAACUCAUCAACCUCUCUCAACAAUGGCUACCAUUCCUUCCCACAACCUUCUUCUUCCUAACCCCACGAUCAACCAAUCAGCUCACUCUCUUUCCUUUAAACCACAAUCUACUCUUCUCAAUUUCCCUGCGAGAUCAUCUCCGGCGGCCGUCACGAGGGCUGUGUCGAGAACCGACGGAGCUUCAAUAUCCUCAAGGCUCGAGCCGGUGGAAAAAUAUGAGAUCACGGCGGCGGAGGAUGUUCGCCGGCGGGAUAGAGAGGCUAAAGAAACAAAGAGUUUGAGGGACACGUGGAGGAAGAUCCAAGGGGAAGAUGAUUGGGCCGGGCUAAUGGAUCCGAUGGACCCUGUUCUAAGAUCAGAGCUGAUCCGCUACGGAGAAAUGGCCCAGGCCUGUUACGACGCUUUCGAUUUCGAUCCGUUCUCGAGAUACUGUGGAAGCUGCAGGUUCACGCGCAAAAAGCUCUUCGACUCGCUCGGAAUAUUCGACUCCGGCUACGAGGCGGCGCGUUACCUCUACGCGACGUCGAACAUCAAUCUCCCCAACUUCUUCUCGAAAUCGAGAUGGUCCAAGGUGUGGAGCAAGAACGCCAACUGGAUGGGAUACGUCGCCGUCUCCGACGACAGCGAAGCCACGCGCCACCGUCUCGGACGCCGCGACAUCGCGAUCGCGUGGAGAGGCACCGUCACGCAGCUCGAGUGGAUAGCGGAUCUCAAGGACUUCCUCAAACCGGUAUCCGGAAACGGAUUCCGGUGCCGGGACCCGGCCGUUAAAGCCGAGUCCGGGUUCCUGGAUCUCUACACGGACAAAGACACGUCGUGCAACUUCUCGAAGUUCUCGGCGAGGGAGCAGCUUCUCACGGAGGUGAAGCGGCUGGUGGAGAGAUACGGCGACGAGGAGGGGGGCGAUCUGAGCAUCACGGUGACGGGACACAGCCUCGGCGGUGCGUUGGCGGUGCUGAGCGCGUACGACGUGGCGGAGAUGGGGCUGAACAGGACGAAGAAUGGGAAGGUUGUUCCGGUGACGGUGUUCACGUACAGCGCUCCGCGGGUUGGGAACAUUCGGUUCAAGGAGAGGAUGGAGGAGCUGGGAGUGAAGGUGCUGAGGGUGGUGAACAAACACGACGUCGUCCCGAAAUCGCCGGGGCUGUUCUUGAACGAACACGCGCCCCACGCGCUUAAGCAGUUGGCGGGAGGGUUGCCGUGGUGUUACUGCCACGUGGGGGAGAAGCUAGCGUUGGAUCACCAGAACUCGCCGUUUCUAAAGCCGUCCGUUGAUAUUUCCACGGCUCAUAACUUGGAAGCUCUUCUCCAUCUACUUGACGGCUUAAUCGUUGGAGAAAAGUCAAAGACUUCUUGAGGAGACAGAUCUCAGUGUAUAUUGAGAUUCUCAAAUCUCGUAUUUUCCAAGAACUUUCUUUAUUAAUAAUACACGAUCGUAAGGGAUUUAGUAAACGUAUUAUUAUUUUCAUAAAAUGCGGGACUAAAUGAGAAUGUGAUCAUUCAGUUUGAUUAACGUGGCGGACUUUAUGGGUGGGGAGAGAAUAAUUGAAAGUAAUAAAGAAAAAAUUAGUUAAUAAUUUAAAGAAGUUGUUGCCGUGUCGUUAUCUGUCAAAGCUUGCUAUUUCUAGAUCACUCUCAUUUGUCGUAUUAGAGCAUGAAUAUCGAGGAUAGUAAAGGGUUUCUUAACCUCUGGACCCCACGAUAAGCUUAAAAAUCGGUUUCAAAAGACGUUAGAUAAAGACCAAUUGUGUUCGGUGUUUUGCCAUGUUCUCAUGCUCCACCGAUACGUGGCAUCCCGCGAUUGGUAUCAUGGGAAAGGACAGAGAUUCGUGUUAUCAAGUGGGAGAGAUCCAGCGUUAGUGAACAAAGCGUCUGAUUUCUUGAAAGACCAUUUUAUGGUACCUCCUUAUUGGCGACAAGA
Molecule: RNA transcript, 2028 nt
Organism: Brassica oleracea var. oleracea
Lineage: Eukaryota; Viridiplantae; Streptophyta; Magnoliopsida; Brassicales; Brassicaceae
Gene name: phospholipase A1-Igamma1, chloroplastic
Exons: 3
Source: RefSeq, a predicted model, not a curated record